AAACCAGCACCUCAAGUGGUCAGGAGGAUUAUUGGGCCUAAAGCAUCCGUAGCCUGCUCUGUAAGUUUUCGGUUAAAUCUGUACGCUCAACGUACAGGCUGCCGGGAAUACUGCAGAGCUAGGGAGUGGGAGAGGUAGACGGUACUCGGGAGGAAGUGGUAAAAUGCUUUGAUCUCUCGAUGACCACCUGUGGCGAAGGCGGUCUACCAGAACACGUCCGACGGUGAGGGAUGAAAGCUGGGGGAGCAAACCGGAUUAGAAACCCGGGUAGUCC
RNAcentral lists this ribosomal RNA (274 nucleotides) under uncultured bacterium. Its description in RNAcentral is "partial 16S ribosomal RNA". It matches the Rfam family "Archaeal small subunit ribosomal RNA", at positions 473 to 747 of the family's 1478-position model. The record is from RNAcentral.